GCAGUAUAGUUCAGUGGUAGAAAGUGUGCUUAGAAUGCAUGAGGCCCUGGGUUCAAUUCCCAGCACCA
RNAcentral lists this transfer RNA (68 nucleotides) under Marmota monax (woodchuck). Its description in RNAcentral is "tRNA.Ser". The stretch from base 7 to 63 matches the Rfam family "tRNA", at positions 8 to 63 of the family's 71-position model. From Rfam's summary of the family: Transfer RNA (tRNA) molecules are approximately 80 nucleotides in length. Their secondary structure includes four short double-helical elements and three loops (D, anti-codon, and T loops). Lineage: Eukaryota; Metazoa; Chordata; Mammalia; Rodentia; Sciuridae. The record is from RNAcentral.